RNAcentral lists this ribosomal RNA (468 nucleotides) under uncultured bacterium. RNAcentral describes it as "partial 16S ribosomal RNA". It matches the Rfam family "Bacterial small subunit ribosomal RNA", at positions 28 to 507 of the family's 1533-position model. The record is from RNAcentral.
GACGAACGCUGGCGGCGUGCUUAACACAUGCAAGUCGAACGGAAAGGCCCUGCUUUUGUGGGGUGCUCGAGUGGCGAACGGGUGAGUAACACGUGAGUAACCUGCCCUUGACUUUGGGAUAACUUCAGGAAACUGGGGCUAAUACCGGAUAGGAGCUCCUGCUGCAUGGUGGGGGUUGGAAAGUUUCGGCGGUUGGGGAUGGACUCGCGGCUUAUCAGCUUGUUGGUGGGGUAGUGGCUUACCAAGGCUUUGACGGGUAGCCGGCCUGAGAGAGUGACCGGCGACAUGGGGAGUGAGAGACGGCGCAGAGUCCUACAGGGGAGAGCGGUGGGGAGUAUGGCACAAAGGGGGGGAGCGUGAGGCGGCGAAGCGGCGUGCGGGAUGACGGGCUUCUGGGGUUAAACCGCUUUCGCGUGUGACGAAGCGGGUGUGACGGUAAAAGGUAGAGAAGCACCGGCUAGCUACGUG